This 207-nucleotide long non-coding RNA is filed under the name Elaeis guineensis (African oil palm). RNAcentral's name for it is "long non-coding RNA (EGUI_LNC021841)". The record is from RNAcentral. Lineage: Eukaryota; Viridiplantae; Streptophyta; Magnoliopsida; Arecales; Arecaceae.
CGUUACUUUCCAUAUAUUUCAGAUAUCUAACUUGAGUGUCGGAAGAUCCCUGUCGAAGCCAACUUCGAUCGGAGACUUAUCUUACAGGUCCUACCAUCGCCUACCAACGGUCACUGUCUAGCUCCAACCAAUCCGAUCAAAGAUGAAUUUCUACCGUAACAUAUUAGAUUAUAUUUGCAUAUUAGCAUAUCUCGUCUCAACGAAAGG